AUGAACGCUGGCGGCGUGCCUAAUACAUGCAAGUCGAGCGAACAGACGAGGAGCUUGCUCCUCUGACGUUAGCGGCGGACGGGUGAGUAACACGUGGAUAACCUACCUAUAAGACUGGGAUAACUUCGGGAAACCGGAGCUAAUACCGGAUAAUAUAUUGAACCGCAUGGUUCAAUAGUGAAAGACGGUUUUGCUGUCACUUAUAGAUGGAUCCGCGCCGCAUUAGCUAGUUGGUAAGGUAACGGCUUACCAAGGCAACGAUGCGUAGCCGACCUGAGAGGGUGAUCGGCCACACUGGAACUGAGACACGGUCCAGACUCCUACGGGAGGCAGCAGUAGGGAAUCUUCCGCAAUGGGCGAAAGCCUGACGGAGCAACGCCGCGUGAGUGAUGAAGGUCUUCGGAUCGUAAAACUCUGUUACUAGGGAAGAACAAAUGUGUAAGUAACUAUGCACGUCUUGACGGUACCUAAUCAGAAAGCCACGGCUAACUACGUG
Molecule: ribosomal RNA, 496 nt
Filed under: uncultured bacterium
Lineage: Bacteria
Description: partial 16S ribosomal RNA
Rfam family: Bacterial small subunit ribosomal RNA
Source: RNAcentral